GGGUAGGUACUCAAGUGGUCAACGAGAUCAGACUGUAAAUCUGAUGCGCUUGCGCUUCGCAGGUUCGAAUCCUGCCCUGCCCA
Molecule: transfer RNA, 83 nt
Filed under: Candidatus Omnitrophota bacterium
Lineage: Bacteria; Pseudomonadati; Candidatus Omnitrophota
Description: Candidatus Omnitrophica bacterium tRNA-Tyr
Rfam family: tRNA
About the family: Transfer RNA (tRNA) molecules are approximately 80 nucleotides in length. Their secondary structure includes four short double-helical elements and three loops (D, anti-codon, and T loops). Further hydrogen bonds mediate the characteristic L-shaped molecular structure. tRNAs have two regions of fundamental functional importance: the anti-codon, which is responsible for specific mRNA codon recognition, and the 3' end, to which the tRNAs corresponding amino acid is attached (by aminoacyl-tRNA synthetases). tRNAs cope with the degeneracy of the genetic code in two manners: having more than one tRNA (with a specific anti-codon) for a particular amino acid; and 'wobble' base-pairing, i.e. permitting non-standard base-pairing at the 3rd anti-codon position.
Source: RNAcentral